Molecule: ribosomal RNA, 831 nt
Filed under: uncultured Actinobacillus sp.
Lineage: Bacteria; Pseudomonadati; Pseudomonadota; Gammaproteobacteria; Pasteurellales; Pasteurellaceae
Description: bacterial SSU rRNA
Rfam family: Bacterial small subunit ribosomal RNA
Source: RNAcentral
CGGACGGGUGAGUAAUGCUUGGGAAUCUGGCUUAUGGAGGGGGAUAACUACGGGAAACUGUAGCUAAUACCGCGUUAUAUCUUCGGAUUAAAGGGUGGGACUUUCGGGCCACCUGCCAUAAGAUGAGCCCAAGUGGGAUUAGGUAGUUGGUGGGGUAAAGGCCUACCAAGCCGACGAUCUCUAGCUGGUCUGAGAGGAUGACCAGCCACACUGGAACUGAGACACGGUCCAGACUCCUACGGGAGGCAGCAGUGGGGAAUAUUGCACAAUGGGGGGAACCCUGAUGCAGCCAUGCCGCGUGAAUGAAGAAGGCCUUCGGGUUGUAAAGUUCUUUCGGUGAUGAGGAAGGUGUUUGUUUUAAUAGAGCAAGCAAUUGACGUUAGUCACAGAAGAAGCACCGGCUAACUCCGUGCCAGCAGCCGCGGUAAUACGGAGGGUGCGAGCGUUAAUCGGAAUGACUGGGCGUAAAGGGCACGCAGGCGGUGACUUAAGUGAGAUGUGAAAGCCCCGAGCUUAACUUGGGAAUUGCAUUUCAUACUGGGUCGCUAGAGUACUUUAGGGAGGGGUAGAAUUCCACGUGUAGCGGUGAAAUGCGUAGAGAUGCGGAGGAAUACCGAAGGCGAAGGCAGCCCCUUGGGAAUGUACUGACGCUCAUGUGCGAAAGCGUGGGGAGCAAACAGGAUUAGAUACCCUGGUAGUCCACGCUGUAAACGCUGUCGAUUUGGGGAUUGGGCUUUAAGCUUGGUGCCCGUAGCUAACGUGAUAAAUCGACCGCCUGGGGAGUACGGCCGCAAGGUUAAAACUCAAAUGAAUUGACGGGGGCCCGCACAA